This 592-nucleotide ribosomal RNA is filed under the name Hypocreomycetidae sp. SHW03. Its description in RNAcentral is "eukaryotic LSU rRNA". The stretch from base 211 to 364 matches the Rfam family "5.8S ribosomal RNA". Lineage: Eukaryota; Fungi; Ascomycota; Sordariomycetes. The record is from RNAcentral.
GGGAUCAUUACCGAGUUUACAACUCCCAAACCCAAUGUGAACGUUACCAAACUGUUGCCUCGGCGGGAUCUCUGCCCCGGGUGCGUCGCAGCCCCGGACCAAGGCGCCCGCCGGAGGACCAACCAAAACUCUUUUUGUAUACCCCCUCGCGGGUUUUUUAUAAUCUGAGCCUUCUCGGCGCCUCUCGUAGGCGUUUCGAAAAUGAAUCAAAACUUUCAACAACGGAUCUCUUGGUUCUGGCAUCGAUGAAGAACGCAGCGAAAUGCGAUAAGUAAUGUGAAUUGCAGAAUUCAGUGAAUCAUCGAAUCUUUGAACGCACAUUGCGCCCGCCAGUAUUCUGGCGGGCAUGCCUGUCCGAGCGUCAUUUCAACCCUCGAACCCCUCCGGGGGGUCGGCGUUGGGGAUCGGCCCUGCCUCUUGGCGGUGGCCGUCUCCGAAAUACAGUGGCGGUCUCGCCGCAGCCUCUCCUGCGCAGUAGUUUGCACACUCGCAUCGGGAGCGCGGCGCGUCCACAGCCGUUAAACACCCAACUUCUGAAAUGUUGACCUCGGAUCAGGUAGGAAUACCCGCUGAACUUAAGCAUAUCAAUAAG